UAGUAUGGCCAUACUACCCUUAAUGCACCUGAUCUUGGAAGUUAAACAGGGCUGGGCCUGGUUAGUACUUGUAUGGGAGACCACUUGGGCAUACUAGAUGCUGUAGGCU
This 109-nucleotide ribosomal RNA is filed under the name Microcebus murinus (gray mouse lemur). Lineage: Eukaryota; Metazoa; Chordata; Mammalia; Primates; Cheirogaleidae. The record is from RNAcentral.